GGGUGCGUACCUCAGUUGGUCAGAGAGAUCCGCUGAUAACGGAUUCGUCGGAGGUUCGAGUCCUCCCGUGCCCA
Molecule: transfer RNA, 74 nt
Organism: Halorientalis sp. IM1011
Lineage: Archaea; Methanobacteriati; Methanobacteriota; Halobacteria; Halobacteriales; Haloarculaceae
Rfam family: tRNA
About the family: Transfer RNA (tRNA) molecules are approximately 80 nucleotides in length.
Source: Rfam